CACCCCUAGGCACUUGGCCAAGGGCAUGGUGUUAAAAAUCUUGGCCGUAGGGAAGCAGAUUCCACACCCCGAGGUAAUUACCUCGUAAUGCAAGUGGAAAAUGGGAGGUGGAAGCGUGGCCUGUGGGUGGUGGGUGAGUCAGGUAUCGGGAUGGGAAAGGGCACACUUUCUCUUCCUCCAACUCUAGGAAGGAGCACAAUAGCGAAGUGGGGGCCCGCAGCCGCUCUCUCGGGCCUGACCCAGCCUUCUGAUCCCAGCGACAUGGCACCUUUUGCUGAAAGCAAAUAUGGCUCCGGGUGCAGUUUAAACAACAAAGGCUGGGCGGAUCGUGUUUCCCGAGAGACCGCCUUCCUCUGGGAGUCCCCCUGAGUCUGGGGCUGAGCCACCUGGGUUUCUGAGAAAAUCUCUGGUGACAUUCAAAGCUCGAAGACGAUGUCCGGGUUCUAAAGAAAGGAGAAGUGAUUUGGAUCUGGAAAAGGAGCUGAUGCUCAGGCCAUUUUGAAAUGGCCUUUUAUCUUCCCAGUCACCUUUCUAGUUGUCCUUGGAGAAAAGCUGAUGGGGCUGACUGGCAGGUGACAGAUCCAAGAAAUUCUAGAGGGCAAAACCACCGUGUGUGGCUUGCAGCUGUAUCUCCGGCACAAAGUGGAUGUACAUUCGUGGGUAGCUGAACUGAGGGUUGACCACCUCUCCUAGAUAAGUCCUGCAUUCCACCAUGUUUACUUGUCUCAAGUCAGGUGUUUUGAUCCUAGUGGGAGGCCCAUGAAGACCUUUUUCAGGAUAUUCACACAUUUGCAACUGUAAGCUGGACUUCCAAACAUUUCUUUCUUUCUUUCUUUCUUUCUAAGCAGCUCUACUAAAAC
RNAcentral lists this long non-coding RNA (860 nucleotides) under Marmota monax (woodchuck). The record is from RNAcentral. Lineage: Eukaryota; Metazoa; Chordata; Mammalia; Rodentia; Sciuridae.